RNAcentral lists this ribosomal RNA (253 nucleotides) under uncultured bacterium. Its description in RNAcentral is "partial 16S ribosomal RNA". It matches the Rfam family "Bacterial small subunit ribosomal RNA", at positions 524 to 776 of the family's 1533-position model. The record is from RNAcentral.
UACGUAGGUGGCAAGCGUUGUCCGGAAUUACUGGGUGUAAAGGGAGCGCAGGCGGGAAGCCAAGUCAGCUGUGAAAACUACGGGCUUAACUUGUAGACUGCAGUUGAAACUGGUUUUCUUGAGUGAAGUAGAGGUUGGCGGAAUUCCGAGUGUAGCGGUGAAAUGCGUAGAUAUUCGGAGGAACACCGGUGGCGAAGGCGGCCUACUGGACGGUGACUGACGCUGAGGCUCGAAAGCGUGGGGAGCAAACAGG